GGAAAAGGAGAGCAAGGUCCACUUCCAUAAUUACCUUGCGGUUGUGAACUUCUGUAUCUGAAAUCAUGAAGAAAAAAAUUUAUGGCUUAUUGGGGAGGACAAAACCCAGGAGUAAAAGAGGUCUGCAGUGGCCGAGCGGCGUCUGACUAGUAUUUGCCACACUAGCAAUUUUGUGUUCAAAUCCCGAGAUUUUUAAUGGAGGACAGUAUAAAAAAAGGGUUCGCAGCUGCAGACAUCAACUCCCCGGUGUAUUUCUGCUGAAAAAGCAUAUUUUGAAGAGAAAAUUUUUUUUUAAUGAAUUAAAUUUUGAAAUAAAAAUUGUAAUUGUAAAAAUUUUUUUCUCUUAUAUAUGUGAAAAUAAAAAUAAAUUUAGAAAUCUAUUUUGCUCUAAAAACAAAAUGUUCUACAUCUAUUGAUGAUAUCAAGUAUGUAAUUUCUUCCAAGCCAUGAGGAGCGUUCAAGAAUGAGGAAAUUUUGAAUAAACCUUUUUCAUUUUUUUGCCGACGCUUCGACCUUUAUUCAGGUCAUCUUCAGAAUCUGGGUAAAUUGCAAAACGUAUGUUGAUUGGAAAAAAUGCAAUACUGAUGUAAAUAUAAAUUUUGAACCACAUAUUUCAUAAUCACAUGAAGUGUGAUGCCAUUCUUGUGGUUUCAUAUUGGUUUUAUGUGAAAGUGUUGUGAAACGUGAAUUUGUAUUCUGUUGUUUUUAUUUGAUUUCACAGGUGUUUUUCAUAUAAA
This is a long non-coding RNA of Cimex lectularius (bed bug), 737 nucleotides long. RefSeq lists it as uncharacterized. Lineage: Eukaryota; Metazoa; Arthropoda; Insecta; Hemiptera; Cimicidae. The transcript has 3 exons. The record is from RefSeq and is a predicted model, not a curated record.